GGAAGUAAAAGUCGUAACAAGGUCCUCCGCAUAUCAAUAAGCGGAGGGAUCAUUA
RNAcentral lists this ribosomal RNA (55 nucleotides) under Fusarium solani. RNAcentral's name for it is "partial 18S ribosomal RNA". Lineage: Eukaryota; Fungi; Ascomycota; Sordariomycetes; Hypocreales; Nectriaceae. The record is from RNAcentral.